Molecule: small nucleolar RNA, 149 nt
Organism: Cairina moschata (Muscovy duck)
Lineage: Eukaryota; Metazoa; Chordata; Aves; Anseriformes; Anatidae
Source: Ensembl
CUUCAGUGACGAUCCGAUGACGAGUCAGACGGUGACGUCCUCGUGUCAGCGCAGCCUGCUCAGUGCCACGUUCUGUGGUGCUGUGACAAGGCCACGUUGGGCAGGACGUCCUACGCAUUGGAUGAUUUCGAGGCAUUUGUCUGAGAAGG